RNAcentral lists this ribosomal RNA (412 nucleotides) under uncultured microorganism. Its description in RNAcentral is "bacterial SSU rRNA". It matches the Rfam family "Archaeal small subunit ribosomal RNA", at positions 330 to 745 of the family's 1478-position model. The record is from RNAcentral.
GCGCAGCAGGCGCGAAACCUUCGCAAUGCGGGAAACCGCGACGAGGGGACUCCCAGUGCCUACGCUCAGCGUAGGCUGUUCCCGAGCCUAGAAAGCUCGGGGAGUAAGGGCUGGGUAAGACGGGUGCCAGCCGCCGCGGUAAUACCCGCAGCCCGAGUGGUGGCCACUAUUAUUGGGCCUAAAGCGUCCGUAGCCGGCCGGUAAAUGCCUGGGUAAAUCGUGAGGCCUAACCUCACGAAUUCCGGGUAGACUGCCGGGCUAGGGACCGGAGGAGGGAGAGGGUACUCCAGGGGUAGGGGUGAAAUCCUGUAAUCCCUGGAGGACCACCGGUGGCGAAGGCGCUCUCCUAGGACGGGUCCGACGGUGAGGGACGAAAGCCAGGGGAGCGAACCGGAUUAGAUACCCGCGUAGU